GAUGAACGCUGGCGGCGUGCUUAACGCAUGCAAGUCGAACGGUGAACACGGAGCUUGCUCUGUGGGAUCAGUGGCGAACGGGUGAGUAACACGUGAGCAACCUGCCCCUGACUCUGGGAUAAGCGCUGGAAACGGCGUCUAAUACGGGAUAUGUGACGUGACCGCAUGGUCUGCGUUUGGAAAGAUUUUUCGGUUGGGGAUGGGCUCGCGGCCUAUCAGCUUGUUGGUGAGGUAAUGGCUCACCAAGGCGUCGACGGGUAGCCGGCCUGAGAGGGUGACCGGCCACACUGGGACUGAGACACGGCCCAGACUCCUACGGGAGGCAGCAGUGGGGAAUAUUGCACAAUGGGCGCAAGCCUGAUGCAGCAACGCCGCGUGAGGGAUGACGGCCUUCGGGUUGUAAACCUCUUUUAGCAGGGAAGAAGCGAAAGUGACGGUACCUGCAGAAAAAGCGCCGGCUAACUACGUG
This 469-nucleotide ribosomal RNA is filed under the name uncultured bacterium. Its description in RNAcentral is "partial 16S ribosomal RNA". It matches the Rfam family "Bacterial small subunit ribosomal RNA", at positions 28 to 507 of the family's 1533-position model. The record is from RNAcentral.